UGCGUAGGCGGUUUUGUGUGUCAGAUGUGAAAUCUCACCGUCCAACGGUGAAACGGCAUUUGAAACUGCAGGACUGGAGUACAGGAGGGGAGAGCGGAAUUCUCGGUGUAGCGGUGAAAUGCGUAGAUAUCGAGAAGAACGCCGGUGGCGAAGGCGGCUCUCUGGACUGAUACUGACGCUGAGGCACGAAAGUUGGGGUAGCGAACA
This 207-nucleotide ribosomal RNA is filed under the name uncultured bacterium. RNAcentral's name for it is "partial 16S ribosomal RNA". It matches the Rfam family "Bacterial small subunit ribosomal RNA", at positions 568 to 774 of the family's 1533-position model. The record is from RNAcentral.